AGCGAACGCUGGCGGCGUGCCUAACACAUGCAAGUCGAACGUGAAAAGGGAAACCUGAGUAAAGUGGCGUACGGGUGAGUAACGCGUAGGUAAUCUACCCCAGAAUCUGGAAUAACCUGCCGAAAGGCGGGCUAAUACUGGAUAGAGCGAGGGAACUCGUAAGAGAGUUUUUCGGGAAAGGGAGCCCGCAAGGGCCUUCGUUCUGGGAUGAGCCUGCGUCUCAUUAGCUAGUUGGUAAGGUAACGGCUUACCAAGGCGAUGAUGAGUAGCUGGUCUGAGAGGAUGAUCAGCCACACUGGAACUGAAACACGGUCCAGACUCCUACGGGAGGCAGCAGUGGGGAAUCUUGCGCAAUGGACGAAAGUCUGACGCAGCCACGCCGCGUGAGUGAAGAAGGCCUUCGGGUUGUAAAGCUCUGUCGGAUGGGACAAACAUCUUCAUAGUGAAUAGCUAUGAGGACUGACGGUACCAUCAAAGGAAGCACCGGCUAACUCCGUG
RNAcentral lists this ribosomal RNA (498 nucleotides) under uncultured bacterium. RNAcentral's name for it is "partial 16S ribosomal RNA". It matches the Rfam family "Bacterial small subunit ribosomal RNA", at positions 29 to 507 of the family's 1533-position model. The record is from RNAcentral.